UUAGCAGAGAUGCUUUAGUGCCUUCGGGAACUCUGAGACAGGUGCUGCAUGGCUGUCGUCAGCUCGUGUUGUGAAAUGUUGGGUUAAGUCCCGCAACGAGCGCAACCCUUAUCCUUUGUUGCCAGCGACUCGGUCGGGAACUCAAAGGAGACUGCCGGUGAUAAACCGGAGGAAGGUGGGGAUGACGUCAAGUCAUCAUGGCCCUUACGAGUAGGGCUACACACGUGCUACAAUGGCGUAUACAAAGAGAAGCGACCUCGCGAGAGCAAGCGGAACUCAUAAAGUACGUCGUAGUCCGGAUUGGAGUCUGCAACUCGACUCCAUGAAGUCGGAAUCGCUAGUAAUCGUAGAUCAGAAUGCUACGGUGAAUACGUUCCCGGGCCUUGUACACACCGCCCGUCACACCAUGGGAGUGGGUUGCAAAAGAAGUAGGUAGCUUAACCUUCGGGAGGGCGCUUACCACUUUGUGAUUCAUGACUGGGGUGAAGUCGUAACAAGGUAACCGUAGGGGAACCUGCGGUUGGAUCACCUCCUUA
This 536-nucleotide ribosomal RNA is filed under the name Providencia sp. R2. RNAcentral's name for it is "partial 16S ribosomal RNA". It matches the Rfam family "Bacterial small subunit ribosomal RNA", at positions 997 to 1533 of the family's 1533-position model. Lineage: Bacteria; Pseudomonadati; Pseudomonadota; Gammaproteobacteria; Enterobacterales; Morganellaceae. RNAcentral also lists the same sequence under 3 other names. The record is from RNAcentral.